RNAcentral lists this transfer RNA (77 nucleotides) under Bacillota bacterium. Its description in RNAcentral is "tRNA-Val". It matches the Rfam family "tRNA". From Rfam's summary of the family: Transfer RNA (tRNA) molecules are approximately 80 nucleotides in length. Their secondary structure includes four short double-helical elements and three loops (D, anti-codon, and T loops). The record is from RNAcentral. Lineage: Bacteria; Bacillati; Bacillota.
GGGCGCGUAGCUCAGAUGGUUAGAGCGCUACUCUCACACAGUAGAGGUCGAUGGUUCGAUUCCAUUCGCGCCCACCA